RNAcentral lists this long non-coding RNA (511 nucleotides) under Androctonus crassicauda. Lineage: Eukaryota; Metazoa; Arthropoda; Arachnida; Scorpiones; Buthidae. The record is from RNAcentral.
UGUCUGGGCUGCCUCUUUCUCUGCCUUUUUAGUAAGUAUUUCCACGACUUAUGGAGCUCUUCUGCGUCACGAUCAUUAAUGACUUUGUUUUUUCUCUGACUUUUGCGAUUUGUGAAUUUUCUGCCGUGGCUGGCUCUAUCCUGUUUUCGACUUGCUUUGCUCCUUUUGCGUCCUUCCAAUUUACUAUGAUGUUGUUCUCGUGAGCUCUCGUGGCGAGGGCUGUUGUCAUGUUGGCUGUCUUGGUGCUCCUUUUGUGUUCUUCGAUCCUGCCUUGGAGAUUUCUGCGCGUUGCCUCCACGUGUAUCUCACACUUGCCUGUGUCUGGGUUUGUCAUGGGUAUCUGGUGGGCCCCGCUUUUCUCACCUGUUCUCCUUGGGUCCUUCGGGUUUCUUAAUAAUUCUCCCACUUUUCUCACCUGUUCUCCUUGGAUCCUUCAGGUUUCUUAAUAAUUCUCCCACUUUUCUCACCUGUUCUCCUUGGAUCCUUCAGGUUUCUUAAUAAUUCUCCCACU